AGAACUUAGCAGAGAUGCUUUGGUGGCCUUCGGGAACUCUGAGACAGGUGCUGCAUGGCUGUCGUCAGCUCGUGUUGUGAAAUGUUGGGUUAAGUCCCGCAACGAGCGCAACCCUUAUCCUUUGUUGCCAGCGGUCCGGCCGGGAACUCAAAGGAGACUGCCAGUGAUAAACUGGAGGAAGGUGGGGAUGACGUCAAGUCAUCAUGGCCCUUACGAGUAGGGCUACACACGUGCUACAAUGGCGCAUACAAAGAGAAGCGACCUCGCGAGAGCAAGCGGACCUCAUAAAGUGCGUCGUAGUCCGGAUUGGAGUCUGCAACUCGACUCCAUGAAGUCGGAAUCGCUAGUAAUCGUAGAUCAGAAUGCUACGGUGAAUACGUUCCCGGGCCUUGUACACACCGCCCGUCACACCAUGGGAGUGGGUUGCAAAAGAAGUAGGUAGCUUAACCUUCGGGAGGGCGCUUACCACUUUGUGAUUCAUGACUGGGGUGAAGUCGUAACAAGGUAAGCGUAGCGAG
Molecule: ribosomal RNA, 518 nt
Filed under: uncultured bacterium
Lineage: Bacteria
Description: bacterial SSU rRNA
Rfam family: Bacterial small subunit ribosomal RNA
Source: RNAcentral